GAGCUGCACUAACUGAAGCAGGAAGACAACAAUUAGAAGUUGCAAGACAGCAUGCAGCUGCUGUAACUGCCACUCUAAAUGCUGUUAAUGCAUAUGCUGAAUGGGCUCCCUUGCCAGAUCUUGCAAAAUAUGGAAUAAUACAUGGUUGUGGAAUCUUGCUCUCCUCUCCGGAUUUUCGUCUUCAUGCAUGUGAAUUCUUCAAGCUUGUCUCCCUG
RNAcentral lists this unclassified non-coding RNA (215 nucleotides) under Hevea brasiliensis (rubber tree). The record is from RNAcentral. Lineage: Eukaryota; Viridiplantae; Streptophyta; Magnoliopsida; Malpighiales; Euphorbiaceae.